Long non-coding RNA from Globicephala melas (long-finned pilot whale), 5783 nucleotides. RefSeq lists it as uncharacterized. The record is from RefSeq and is a predicted model, not a curated record. Lineage: Eukaryota; Metazoa; Chordata; Mammalia; Artiodactyla; Delphinidae.
AGAGGAAAGGCCAAUAAGGGGCCUGCCAACAGAGUCAGUGCCCUUUUCAGGGAGCAUUCCCAGAAGUCUCAUACUAUAGUUAUUCUUUCAUUCAAUUGGCCAGAAGUUACUCUCAUGGGCACUCUUCUCUGGAGGGGAGCCUGGGAAAUCUAAUUUUUCAGUUGGCACAUUGCUACCUCCAACAAAAUCAGGGCCCUGUGUAAGUAAGAAGAGAAGAAUAAAUUUUGGGUAGGCAACCAGAAUGUCUGCCACAACCCCCAACUCAGGUCUGGACCUAUCUUUGCAUCCCAAUGACUCAUUAUUCUAUUAAACCUAAGAGGCCAUCACAGGGCUGAAGGGAGGGAGCUGGAGUAAAAGAAAUGGCUGAAUCUUUCAUCUGCUGUCUUCACUGACAGUCUCUGAAAGUGGAUGGCAACAAAGAGAUUUAUUUGCCCACUGAUACGAAAUCUACCACCCUCCUUAGAAGGCAGAAGCGGUUACAGUUGCCUUUUAUUUUCCUAUUGCUACACCCAAGGAUUGUUGUGAGAAUGCAAAGACAGAUAUGAGACAGCAUGUUAUAAACUAUAAAACACUACUCAGCAACAGAAAUGAUCGUUUAUCGUUAUUAUAAGUGUUGUCACGUCUUCUAAAGCCGUGCGCUCAGCUGAAGAAAAGGAUUUUCUGAGAGAGAGCAAGAGAGCCAAAGAGAAAAGGAGAGAAAGAGUGAGGGGGAGGGGUAAGGGAGAAGGGAAAUGGGGAGAGAGAAGAGUGGAGGCCCCUUUUCUAUCAAAGGCAGAACAAAAAUAUAUUGACAUAAUUGAAUCCUAUGUCUGACCCAAACACAUAUACAACUACCUGGGAGACAGCAUCAAAGUUCUUUGCUCAGGGCUCUCUGAUUAUUUAAAAAAUAUCUCCCUCAUUUUUAAGCAAUAUAUGUAUAUUGAAGACUAUUUGAACCAUAUGAAAAGGCACAAGGAAGUUUUUCUUAAAAACCUGCUUUAUUGAUAUAUAAUUGACAUAAACUGUGCACAUUUCAAGUGUGUAAUUUUAUGUAUUUUGACAUAAGUAUACACCCAUGAAUCCAUCACUACCCUCAACAUAAUGAACACAUCCGUCACCCCCAAAAGUUUCCUAUGCUCCCUCUCUCCUGCCCCUUCCUGGCCAACCCCCUUCCUGCCAGGAAUCAACUCCUCUGCUUUCUGCCACUCUAGAUUCCUUUGCAUUUUCUUGAAUUUUAUACAAAUGGAAUAUAAAAUUCCAUAAAAACAUGUACAAUGUAUGUACUCUUUUUUGUUUAGCUUCAUUCACUUGGCAUAAUAAUAUGAAAACAAAAAAAAACAAAAAAAUGCCAACAAACCUCACAACUUACAGAGACAUAUAAUUAAUGACAUAACACAGAUCCACCAGGAUUCAGAACAGUUAAUUAGCCAUAUUCGCUUCAGCUCUCCUCAUUUUUUUAAUGUGAUUUAUACAAGAAAAAAAUUGUAACAAUUUGCAUAAUUCUAUGAAUAAUUAUAAAACAAACCCCUGUGGGCAACAAGUGAACGCUGUAAGCACCCUGUUAUCUUCUGUGUCCCCUCCCUGACACCCAUGUCUUCCCCCCCAAUUCUAGGUCAUCACUAUCCCCACUUUUGGGAGACUCACUUUCUUGCUUGCCUUUCUGGUUUUAUGACCUAGGUAUCCGUCCCAGUAAUGGUAGAGUUGAGCCACCUGUUUGUGAAUUUUAUAUGAAUGAAAUCAUACUGUUUGUCUUCUUCUGUGACUUGUAUUUUUUACCGUUAUGUUUGGGAGAUUAGCCAUGUUGUGUCAUGUGGCUGUGGUUUGUUCAUUUUAAUGGCUGUAUUCAAUUUUAUGAAUAUACUGCAGCGUGGCAUGGCCCACACUAGAAAGAAACCUUUUAAAUGUGAUCAUCACUGUUUGGCCUGUGUUCGCACCCAAGCCUUGUACCCAACAGACAGUCGUCAUAGGAUAGAAACAAGUGAAACACCCCAACUCCUGCUGCCAGUCCCCUGACCGCCACCCUGUGUCCAUAGAAAGUUAAUCCAUUAAUAUUCACAUAUGCAAAUCAUAAAUAUUUACAACAAUAUCUUCUGUCCUGACACAGUAUUCUUUCUGAAGAAGCAAAGCACAAAGCAGCUUCUAAAAAAAAAAUCAUGAACUUUAUGUAAUUUCAUUAGUCAGCCCAGGCUAAUAAAAAAGUACCACAGACUGGGUGGCUUAAACAACAGAAGUGUAUUUUUUCUCAUAGAUCUGGAGGUUGGAAGUCCAGGAUCAAGGAGUCAGUAGGUUUGGUUUCCACUGAAGCCUCUCUCUGGCUUACAAAGGGCUGCCUUCUCCCUGUUUCCUCAUGUUUCUGUCUCCUCUGCCUUCUCACUGUAUUCCCUCUUUCCUUCUGUUUCCUAAUCUCCUCUUUAAAGACCCCAGUCAGAUUAGAUUAGGACCCAUCCCAAUGGCCACAGUUUACCUGUUUCAAGGCCCUGUUUCCAAAUAUGGUCAUGGUCUGAGGUACUAGGGGUUAGGACUUCAAAACAUGAAUUUCAGCCCAUAGCAGUUGCAUUGAUCUUAAUACAGCCCAUAGCAGUUGCACUGAUCUUAAUACACCUAGUUAUAUUCUCCGUGGGAGAAAGAAAAACAAGGAUGAGGUCAGACACUCUCCUUCUACAGCCUGCUCUUCCCUUUUCACUCUUUUCCUCAGGCCUUCAAUCCAGAACAUCCUAGCUCACUGCUCCUAAACGAUGCUCUCACUAUAAAUUGCAUAGAAACAUAAGACAUCAAAACCUAGUUUUAUGUUUCUUUGUGUAUAAGAAAUAGUAAGAGUCACUGAAGUCGGUGCUUGCAGUCUGAGACUUUUCUAAAAAGAGUUCAGUGCAUUAUUCAAGUUGAAAAAAUAAUAAUUUGGACCUUAGCCUGUCUCCAGCAGAUGGAUGACGCUGCCCGUCCCCUGCCCUUUCUUAAGAAGUUCCCUUUAUUCUGUGAUACCCUAAAGUGUCUGCUGGCAUGGUGGUUUACAAGCACCUUCUCACGUGGUGAAUAAUUAGGUCCUAAUCACCACCCAGUGAAGUAGAGAAAUAAUUUGAAUCCCUGUUGUACAGAUGAGAUAACUGGAGCAUAAAGAAUGUGGGAUUUUCAAGGUCACACAGCAAGAAAGGCACAAAGCCAGCUUCCAUUUCUCAGUCUAGGUAAUAUGAAUUCCACAGUUCCAUGUUGCCUUCUCUCCCCAAAGUGGCGGUCCAUCCACCAAGUUUUUGUUUCAACUGAGGUGCAGUGGUGCUAGUCAUUGGGAGGGGGAACAACUGAAAACACUAUGAUGACUCAGGGCAGUCAGUAAGAAAAUGGACUUUCUCGGUGAGGCAGAGAUGGGGAAGUAGUCAUCUCUUUCUUCUGAUAGCAGGGCGUACGUUUUGUUUUUCAAUCGGCAUGCUCACUGGAUCCUUCUUAUUACCCUUUGCCUUUCAUGCUUUUAAAGCUUACCCACAAGCAUUUUUUUCAUUCCAUCUGUAUUUAGUAGUUGUUGUUCUACUACAAAGAAGACUUUCCUCUCUUCUCCAUCUAUUUGUGUACUCAUUUAUUAAUUUAUAUCACUAUAGUCUCACGGUUUCUUAUUUUAUUCAGUGAGUUUUUGUUUUAUUCCACGGGUUUCGAUGACCAGACUGUGCUUGUUCAGUGGGAACCCCUUCAUUCUGGCUCCUGGGUCCUCUUGACAUGUUCCCAUAAGUCCAUGAGCCUAUCCUUACUUGGCACAAAAAGGUGUUCCACAUUCUUCUCAUAUUUUCACUGCCCCAGCCUUAAACUCACUGUAUUUUGAGAACUGGUGGAUACCACCCAGUGUUAAAAGUAGAAGUCUUGAACCACUGUAGGAGCCAGAGGAGACAGUGAUUUCUCCUCAAAUUAUGACCCUUCUUGACCUUCAGAUGAAAGGAUUAAGAGGAUGAUUGCCCCCAUGUGCUUGUAAUUCAUCCCAAGGAUAAACAAAUCUACUGUCUUAAGUUUCUCAUGAUUUCCAUUUCAUGGAAGAGAAUUUCAAACUAAGCCUCAGAGACACUAGGCGGGAAAUGGGAAUUCAAAUCUGUGGGAUAGGGUAACGGGAGAUCAAUACGGAACGGACUGCCGCCCUUACUAACAGUGACCCUGACCCACACAAGCCUGUGUGUGGGAGGAGCUUGGGCUCCUCCCAAGGAGCCUGCAGAGCCGGCGGCGAGCAGGAAGCCUCAGAGUACAGAGGACCAUGUCACUCUUAACUCCCAGAUGGUGAGAGGUAAGCCUCUGUCCUGGGGACACCGGAGUGGGCGGGGUGUCCUUUCUACACUCACAGGUGCAGCCAGAGCUGACUCUAAGAUAAGACAGGUUUGAUCAUGGCUCGUUUUCCUUUCCAUUAAAAAUAAUUUCAAUUAGGAAAGACUUUAAGUUUACAGAAAGUUACAGAUAAAAAUGUCAUAAGCACCAAUGUACCCAUCACCAGACGGAGGAAAUGUUAACAUUAGCCUUAGAUCCUUUUAGAAAGAAAAUAAAGCUACAGAUAAAAUUGAAACCCAAUUGCCCUCCCUCUCUCUCCAGAGAUAACUCUCAAGUUAGUACGCAGCUUCUCGGUGCUCAAUUAUUACUUUGUUUUCACGUGGGUAAACACCAAUAUAUAGUAUUGCCUUGUGUACUUAAAACAUUUCAUAAGCAGUAUUGUUACCCACGCUAUGCAGCCAAGGCUCCAGGCGCGGAGACUGUUUUCUUUUUUUCAAUCAUACAGGUUAGUUGUUUUUUUAUCAACAGGAAGCCACGAAGGCCAGAAACAAAACCAGACUGAACCAGCUAGGUCCAAGAUGGCGGGCAAAGUAGGCUAAAGUACCUGGUGUUUGGCAGAGAUGCUUUGCGGGCUGUACUUUGAGAGAUACACAGUGGUCAACCAUCCCAAACCAGCUCUGACGACCACGGGAACACGCCUGCGCAGAUGAAACCAGGGGGCUGUCCCAGCAUUACCUUCGCUUCAUUACCUUGCUAACAUCUCAGCCCAAAGCGGGGAUUUGUGCUCUGCUAGGCACAAUUUGUUCCACGUGCAAAGGAGCGUGGCAGACUGCGCAUGACCUGGCUGCCCCUGGAAAUCUCCGCCCCUUUCCUAGAGCCCUGAUGACCUUCUCCCUCCUAACCCUAAAAUUCCCUUACUCCCCUCUUUGGGGAGAAGGUGCUUCUAGAGUUUGAGCUUCCCUUCUCCAUUCUCUGGCCUUUGGGUAAAAGCCUGUUUUGCUUGCACCAAACUCAAUUUCAUUAUUGGGAGCUCGAAACUGAGUGGGAAAGAACUCCCUGUCUGAUAGGGGUUGGGGGAAGGGAGAGCUUAGGUUCAGCUAGGGCACCAAGAGUGGGGGGUCUUACGUCUAAUUCAGUAACAUUACCAUACUGCUUGUAUCCGUUUUCAACUGGCUUUUUUUUUUUUUCGGUACGUGGGCUUCUCACUGUUGUGGCCUCUCCCGUUGCGGAGCACAGGCUCCACACACGCAGGCUCAGCGGCCAUGGCUCACGGGCCUAGCCGCUCCGCGGCAUGUGGGAUCUUCCCGGACCGGGACACGAACCCGUGUCCCCUGUAUCGGCGGGCGGACUCUCAACCACUGCGCCACCAGGGAAGUCCUCAACUGGCUUUUGAUUUUCACCUAACAGUGAGAUUUAUUGAUAUUAAUAAUGUAGAUCUAGUUCAUUCAUUUUAUCUGAUAGUAUUUUGUUGUAUGACAUUUUUAUAAUGAUAUAUGAUAUUACUCUUAAUAGUCCUAAUGCUUUGUAUAUUGGAUUUUCUUUGAAGAUAAUAAACUCACCUGGAAUAAUGA